Drosophila simulans is the source of this 587-nucleotide long non-coding RNA. RefSeq lists it as uncharacterized. NCBI's taxonomy places the organism in Eukaryota, Metazoa, Arthropoda, Insecta, Diptera, Drosophilidae. The record is from RefSeq and is a predicted model, not a curated record. The transcript is spliced from 3 exons.
CCAUUCGUUUGACAAAUCUCAAAGAGAAAACAACGCUUAAAAAGGUUCUAAGGUGUUAUUUCGAUACCGGAUUACUCAUCCAUCCCACCUGCAGGGGAUGCGAUUGUUUGGGCAGCUUUGUGCGAAUUUCUACGCCUGUCGCAGCCUAGAUUUUAGGCUACCCAAAUGAAUCUGCCUGAAAGCAUUUCCGCCUUAUCAGUUCGCUCUUAUCGCCGCACGUUUUGUUUGCCCACUUAGCUGCAGCUAGUUGCGAAUUGGGGGGCGGAGCUCCACUCGACAGCGGUAUCGCAGUAAGACGUCACGAAUAACUGUUAAAUUUACAUAUAUUCACAUGAAACCAAUCUGCCAAGUGAACAAGAGAAUUGCGUUGCCAGGUGAAAGAAAAAUAUCGGAGUGAAAAAUCAAAGAGAGCAAGGUAAUGCUACUCACUCACUGGCAGCCAAUUGAGUGGAAACAAAUAACCGAAACACCAAGCUACAAGGAAAUGGGAACCACGAUCCUUAUAAGAAACAAUCGAUUUUAUUACGACUUUUUUAAAUACAUUUAUUCUAGCAAAAUGCACUUGAAUAAUAAAUAUCGUACAUAUG